AAUGAACGCUGGCGGCAUGCCUAACACAUGCAAGUCGAACGAACGUUUCGGGCUUAGUGGCGCACGGGUGAGUAACGCGUGGGAAUCUGCCCCUUGCUUCGGAAUAACUCCUGGAAAUGACUGCUAAUACCGGAUGAUGACUGAAGUACAAAGAUUUAUCGCCGAAGGAUGAGCCCGCGUAGGAUUAGCUAGUUGGUGUGGUAAAAGCGCACCAAGGCGACGAUCCUUAGCUGGUCUGAGAGGAUGAUCAGCCACAUUGGGACUGAGACACGGCCCAAACUCCUACGGGAGGCAGCAGUGGGGAAUAUUGGACAAUGGGCGAAAGCCUGAUCCAGCCAUGCCGCGUGAGUGAUGAAGGCCUUAGGGUUGUAAAGCUCUUUUACCGGGGAUGAUAAUGACAGUACCCGGAGAAUAAGCUCCGGCUAACUCCGUGCCAGCAGCCGCGGUAAUACGGAGGGAGCUAGCGUUAUUCGGAAUUACUGGGCGUAAAGCGCACGUAGGCGGAUUUGUAAGUCAGAGGUGAAAUCCCGGAGCUCAACUCCGGAACUGCCUUUUAUACUGCAUCUCUUGAGUCCUGAAGAGGUCAGUGGAAUUCCGAGUGUAGAGGUGAAAUUCGUAGAUAUUCGGAAGAACACCAGUGGCGAAGGCGGCUGACUGGACCUAUAUUGACGCUGAGGUGCGAAAGCGUGGGGAGCAAACAGGAUUAGAUACCCUGGUAGUCCACGCCGUAAACGAUGAUAACUAGCUGUCCGGUGACUUGUCCCUUGGGGGGGCCCACCUAACCCUUUAGCUUCUCCGCCUGGGGAGUUCGGCCCCAGAGUUUAAACCUCAAAUGAAAUGGCCGGGGGCCUGCCCAACCGGGGAACCUGGGGGUUUAUUUGAAGCCACGGGCCGGACCUUACCCGGGUCUGACCAGGUCGGGCGGAUUCCAGAGAUGGAUUCUUUUCCUUCGGGGACUUGCCCCCGGGUGUGCCAGGCCGUUGUCAAGUUGGGUUCGGGAGAGGUGGGGUUAAUUCCGCAAAGGAGGGCACCCUUGCCCUUAAGUUCCCUCCAUCUAUUGGGCUCCUUAAAGGGACCCCCCGUGAUUAACCCAGAGGAAGGUGGGGAUGACGUCAAGUCCUCAUGGCCCUUACGGGCUGGGCUACACACGUGCUACAAUGGCGGUUACAAUGGGCAGCCAUCUCGCGAGAGUGAGCUAAUCUCCAAAAGCCGUCUCAGUUCGGAUUGCUCUCUGCAACUCGGGAGCAUGAAGGCGGAAUCGCUAGUAAUCGCGGAUCAGCAUGCCGCGGUGAAUACGUUCCCAGGCCU
This 1308-nucleotide ribosomal RNA is filed under the name uncultured bacterium. RNAcentral's name for it is "partial 16S ribosomal RNA". It matches the Rfam family "Bacterial small subunit ribosomal RNA", at positions 28 to 1381 of the family's 1533-position model. The record is from RNAcentral.